CCUACGGGAGGCAGCAGUGGGGAAUAUUGCACAAUGGGGGAAACCCUGAUGCAGCGACGCCGCGUGAGUGAAGAAGUAUUUCGGUAUGUAAAGCUCUAUCAGCAGGAACGAGACAAGACGGUACCUGACUAAGAAGCCCCGGCUAACUACGUGCCAGCAGCCGCGGUAAUACGUAGGGGGCAAGCGUUAUCCGGAAUCACUGGGUGUAAAGGGAGCGUAGACGGCUGAGCAAGCCUGAAGUGAAAGGCGGGGGCCCAACCCCCGGACUGCUUUGGGAACUGUACGGCUGGAGUGCAGGAGAGGUAAGUGGAAUUCCUAGUGUAGCGGUGAAAUGCGUAGAUAUCACGCAGAACUCCGAUUGCGAAGGCAGCAUACCGGCGCUCAACUGACGCUCAUGCACGAAAGUGUGGGUAUCGAACAGGAUUAGAUACCCGUGUAGUC
Molecule: ribosomal RNA, 441 nt
Filed under: uncultured bacterium
Lineage: Bacteria
Description: partial 16S ribosomal RNA
Rfam family: Bacterial small subunit ribosomal RNA
Source: RNAcentral